Molecule: unclassified non-coding RNA, 97 nt
Organism: Microcebus murinus (gray mouse lemur)
Lineage: Eukaryota; Metazoa; Chordata; Mammalia; Primates; Cheirogaleidae
Rfam family: Y RNA
About the family: Y RNAs are components of the Ro ribonucleoprotein particle (Ro RNP), in association with Ro60 and La proteins.
Source: Ensembl
AGCUGGUUCAACGGUAGUGGGUUAUCAGAACUUAUUAACAUUAGUGUCACUAAAGUUGGUAUACCCUCCCCCCACUGCUUAAUUUGGCUGGCUUAAA